Molecule: ribosomal RNA, 731 nt
Filed under: uncultured bacterium
Lineage: Bacteria
Description: bacterial SSU rRNA
Rfam family: Bacterial small subunit ribosomal RNA
Source: RNAcentral
AGCGGCGGACGGGUGAGUAAUGCUUAGGAAUCUGCCUAUUAGUGGGGGACAACAUUCCGAAAGGGAUGCUAAUACCGCAUACGUCCUACGGGAGAAAGCAGGGGAUCUUCGGACCUUGCGCUAAUAGAUGAGCCUAAGUCGGAUUAGCUAGUUGGUGGGGUAAAGGCCUACCAAGGCGACGAUCUGUAGCGGGUCUGAGAGGAUGAUCCGCCACACUGGGACUGAGACACGGCCCAGACUCCUACGGGAGGCAGCAGUGGGGAAUAUUGGACAAUGGGGGGAACCCUGAUCCAGCCAUGCCGCGUGUGUGAAGAAGGCCUUAUGGUUGUAAAGCACUUUAAGCGAGGAGGAGGCUACUGAGACUAAUACUCUUGGAUAGUGGACGUUACUCGCAGAAUAAGCACCGGCUAACUCUGUGCCAGCAGCCGCGGUAAUACGGAGGGUGCGAGCGUUAAUCGGAUUUACUGGGCGUAAAGCGUGCGUAGGCGGCUUUUUAAGUCGGAUGUGAAAUCCCCGAGCUUAACUUGGGAAUUGCAUUCGAUACUGGGAAGCUAGAGUAUGGGAGAGGAUGGUAGAAUUCCAGGUGUAGCGGUGAAAUGCGUAGAGAUCUGGAGGAAUACCGAUGGCGAAGGCAGCCAUCUGGCCUAAUACUGACGCUGAGGUACGAAAGCAUGGGGAGCAAACAGGAUUAGAUACCCUGGUAGUCCAUGCCGUANACGAUGUCUACUAGC